RNAcentral lists this ribosomal RNA (496 nucleotides) under uncultured bacterium. RNAcentral describes it as "partial 16S ribosomal RNA". It matches the Rfam family "Bacterial small subunit ribosomal RNA", at positions 28 to 506 of the family's 1533-position model. The record is from RNAcentral.
GAUGAACGCUGGCGGCGUGCCUAAUACAUGCAAGUCGAGCGAACAGACGAGGAGCUUGCUCCUCUGACGUUAGCGGCGGACGGGUGAGUAACACGUGGAUAACCUACCUAUAAGACUGGGAUAACUUCGGGAAACCGGAGCUAAUACCGGAUAAUAUAUUGAACCGCAUGGUUCAAUAGUGAAAGACGGUUUUGCUGUCACUUAUAGAUGGAUCCGCGCCGCAUUAGCUAGUUGGUAAGGUAACGGCUUACCAAGGCAACGAUGCGUAGCCGACCUGAGGGGGUGAGAGGCCACAGGGAAACUGACACACGGCACAGACCCCCACGGGAGGCAGGAGGAGGAAAUCUUCCGCAAUGGGCGAAAGCUUGACGGAGAAACGCCGCGUGAGUGAUGAAGGUCUUCGGAUCGUAAAACUCUGUUAUUAGGGAAGAACAAAUGUGUAAGUAACGAUGCUAGUCUUGACGGAACCAAACAAGAAAGCCCCGGCUAACUACGU